RNAcentral lists this non-coding RNA (183 nucleotides) under Vulcanococcus sp. Clear-D1. Its description in RNAcentral is "6S RNA". It matches the Rfam family "6S / SsrS RNA". Rfam says of the family: E. coli 6S RNA was the first non coding RNA to be sequenced, but its function was unknown until recently. It consists of 184 nucleotides that fold into an extended hairpin structure with a large single-stranded internal bulge. The 6S RNA specifically associates with RNA polymerase holoenzyme containing the sigma70 specificity factor. The record is from RNAcentral. Lineage: Bacteria; Bacillati; Cyanobacteriota; Cyanophyceae; Synechococcales; Synechococcaceae.
GCCGGACUGCUGUGUUGGUGACUGCCUUCUACAGUUUUCUGAUCUGACUCCCUUUUCGACUUGGGGCGUCUGUCGCGACAGUGCCGUAGACCGGCCUCGUAGCCGGAAACGAAUCUUCGCUUUGACUCCCCUUCUGGUUUAUCCAGGUCGGAAUCUGGGGCAGAACGGCACAGCGGUUCACCC